Molecule: ribosomal RNA, 477 nt
Filed under: Nesterenkonia sandarakina
Lineage: Bacteria; Bacillati; Actinomycetota; Actinomycetes; Micrococcales; Micrococcaceae
Description: bacterial SSU rRNA
Rfam family: Bacterial small subunit ribosomal RNA
Source: RNAcentral
UUAGAGUUUGAUUCCUGGCUCAGGAUGAACGCUGGCGGCGUGCUUAACACAUGCAAGUCGAACGAUGAAGACCGUGCUUGCACGGUUGGAUUAGUGGCGAACGGGUGAGUAUCACGUGAGUAACCUUCCCUUAACUCUGGGAUAAGCCCGGGAAACUGGGUCUAAUACCGGAUACGACCAGUCCUCGCAUGGGGUGCUGGUGGAAAGAUUUAUCGGUUUUGGAUGGACUCGCGGCCUAUCAGCUUGUUGGUGAGGUAAUGGCUCACCAAGGCGAUGACGGGUAGCCGGCCUGAGAGGGUGACCGGCCACACUGGGACUGAGACACGGCCCAGACUCCUACGGGAGGCAGCAGUGGGGAAUAUUGCACAAUGGGCGAAAGCCUGAUGCAGCGACGCCGCGUGCGGGAUGACGGCCUUCGGGUUGUAAACCGCUUUCAGCAGGGAAGAAGCGAAAGUGACGGUACCUGCAGAAGAAGCG